This 343-nucleotide unclassified non-coding RNA is filed under the name soil metagenome. RNAcentral's name for it is "partial contains 5.8S ribosomal RNA, internal transcribed spacer 2, and large subunit ribosomal RNA". The stretch from base 1 to 120 matches the Rfam family "5.8S ribosomal RNA", at positions 35 to 154 of the family's 154-position model. The record is from RNAcentral.
GAUGAAGAACGUAGUGAAAUGCGAUAAGUAAUGUGAAUUGCAGAAUUCAGUGAAUCAUCGAAUCUUUGAACGCACAUUGCGCCCGCUAGUAUUCUGGCGGGCAUGCCUGUCCGAGCGUCAUUUCAACCCUCAAGCCCCCGGGCUUGGUGUUGGGGAUCGGCGAGCCUCCGCGCCCGCCGUCCCCUAAAUCUAGUGGCGGUCUCGCUGUAGCUUCCUCUGCGUAGUAGCACACCUCACACUGGGAAACAGCGCGGCCACGCCGUUAAACCCCCAACUUCUGAACGUUUGACCUCGGAUCAGGUAGGAAUACCCGCUGAACUUAAGCAUAUCAAUAAGCGGAGGA